CUUCGUAGAGACGAGGUCCUUUGUGCUUUUAGUGUAGUUCAGCCUCCGUUUCUCGUUGGGGUAGCCCACCGUUGUUCCUUCACAUUUCCCUCUUUUUUCUUCUUUUUUGCUGGGUCUCGAAUGGCCGGACCCUAAUUAGUGUCGAGACGAGGUUCUUCCCCUAUCUCUGAUGUGAUCGAUUUCAGUUCGGGUUAGGAUGAGGUCCUCCUUCUAUUCCUAACGGGGCUAUGGGGGCGCAUAUGGGUGCUAUAUGGCCUCUCC
This 261-nucleotide long non-coding RNA is filed under the name Elaeis guineensis (African oil palm). RNAcentral describes it as "long non-coding RNA (EGUI_LNC051360)". The record is from RNAcentral. Lineage: Eukaryota; Viridiplantae; Streptophyta; Magnoliopsida; Arecales; Arecaceae.